CAGUAGCCACGGUAAUACAGAGGGUGCGAGCGUUAAUCGGAUUUACUGGGCGUAAAGCGUGCGUAGGCGGCUUCUUAAGUCGGAUGUGAAAUCCCUGAGCUUAACUUAGGAAUUGCAUUCGAUACUGGGAAGCUAGAGUAUGGGAGAGGAUGGUAGAAUUCCAGGUGUAGCGGUGAAAUGCGUAGAGAUCUGGAGGAAUACCGAUGGCGAAGGCAGCCAUCUGGCCUAAUACUGACGCUGAGGUACGAAAGCAUGGGGAGCAAAUGGGAUUAGAUACCCCCGUAGUCCCUGUCUCUUAUAC
This 301-nucleotide ribosomal RNA is filed under the name uncultured bacterium. RNAcentral's name for it is "partial 16S ribosomal RNA". It matches the Rfam family "Bacterial small subunit ribosomal RNA", at positions 509 to 807 of the family's 1533-position model. The record is from RNAcentral.